GAUGAACGCUGGCGGCGUGCUUAACACAUGCAAGUCGAACGGGGAUUAUUUCAUUGAAGCUUCGGCAGAUUUGGCUUAAUCCUAGUGGCGGACGGGUGAGUAACGCGUGGGUAACCUGCCUUGUACAGGGGGAUAACAGUCAGAAAUGACUGCUAAUACCGCAUAAGCGCACAGGACCGCAUGGUCCGGUGUGAAAAACUCCGGUGGUAUAAGAUGGACCCGCGUUGGAUUAGCUUGUUGGCAGGGUAACGGCCUACCAAGGCGACGAUCCAUAGCCGGCCUGAGAGGGUGAACGGCCACAUUGGGACUGAGACACGGCCCAGACUCCUACGGGAGGCAGCAGUGGGGAAUAUUGCACAAUGGGGGAAACCCUGAUGCAGCGACGCCGCGUGAAGGAAGAAGUAUCUCGGUAUGUAAACUUCUAUCAGCAGGGAAGAAAAUGACGGUACCUGACUAAGAAGCCCCGGCUAACUA
This 474-nucleotide ribosomal RNA is filed under the name uncultured bacterium. Its description in RNAcentral is "bacterial SSU rRNA". It matches the Rfam family "Bacterial small subunit ribosomal RNA", at positions 28 to 503 of the family's 1533-position model. The record is from RNAcentral.